CAGCAAUAAAAUUGUCAUAGCAUCAAUAUUAUUUGAAUUAUUCAGAAGUCAGAAACCCUAUAUAAAACACAAAACUAGACAGGGCUACGUCAUUCAUAUAUUUCGCAGAUAAACUACAGCCUAGAUAUAUUCAAAAGAAAAAGUAACAAUGAAACUUGUAGUCGCAGUUUUGUGCUUGACCCUGUUACUGGCAGUCAGUGAUGCAAAACCCAAAAGGGAGAUUCGUGCACCGGCCAUUGAACAACCUUGGAAGAGAGAGACGGAACGUGACCUUGACCGAAGGGUUAUUUUCAUAAGGGAAGAUGAACGUGAUGUUCGUGGAGCACAUAUACCUGUGGCAUAAUUCAAGGCACCUGUAUGAAAUGGAGAAUGAAACAAAAUAAAAUAGUGUGAAUCCACUA
Molecule: long non-coding RNA, 401 nt
Organism: Biomphalaria glabrata
Lineage: Eukaryota; Metazoa; Mollusca; Gastropoda; Planorbidae
Exons: 6
Source: RefSeq, a predicted model, not a curated record